Molecule: long non-coding RNA, 412 nt
Filed under: Salvia miltiorrhiza (redroot sage)
Lineage: Eukaryota; Viridiplantae; Streptophyta; Magnoliopsida; Lamiales; Lamiaceae
Description: long non-coding RNA (SMIL_LNC012607)
Source: RNAcentral
CCCAAUGUUUGUGGUUUAUUCGGUUCUUUUUUCUUCCUUUUUCGUUUUUUUUUGGUUUUUUGUUUGUUAAUUCUUUUGCUUUUUUUUUUUCAGCUGUUUGCAUGUUUCGUUUUUUUUUUCAGUUUCUUAUUUUAGGUUUUUUUUGGUUAUUUUUUCUUACGACUAUAAAGACUUAACAAAAUAAUUAAAAUUAUAGAUUUUCGUGAGUAAAAAUAACAAUUUUCCGUGAAAAAAGUAAUAAUUUUAAAGUGUUACAUUUCUUCAUAUGUAUAAUUAUUUUUUAUUAAGAUAAUAGUUACUUUUAAUAGGUAUAAAAUAUACAUUUGUUAGCAUAAAUGUAUACUUAUGUUAAUAUAAGCAUUUACAUUCAUUCGAUAUAAAGUAGUAAAUUUUUUAACUCGUAAACCCUGAC